Molecule: long non-coding RNA, 402 nt
Filed under: Bos indicus x Bos taurus (hybrid cattle)
Lineage: Eukaryota; Metazoa; Chordata; Mammalia; Artiodactyla; Bovidae
Description: lncRNA (ENSBIXG00005021428.1)
Source: RNAcentral
GUGGUCUCCAGUUCAGGGACGUGCACAUGGCUGCAGAAAGAUCUCCGAGAACGGUCCAAAGAAAUCCAGCAGUGUCAGAGGUCAUCUAUAAUUGAGGACAAAUUAGCAAGAGUCCAGAGGCUGAGCAUGGCUUUGAUCAGGGUGUCCAGCCUUUCUCAGUGCAAACCAUUCUGUGGAGAAAGGUAGGAGUCAUAUCAGUGAAUUGGUUGCCUUCCUAAAGGUUAUCAAGACCCCCUUUUCUCUUCCUCUGCUGCCUCCCCCACCUUACUCUCUUUGGGAGCACUUCUAUAUUUCUGCAGCAGUUUGACUUUGGCAGGAAUUGUAUUCAGGUAUAAUGCUAAGCCUUAAACCUGUUCAUCUUUGUUUGUACUCAAUUACCCUGAUUUUACUCUGAGAUUCAUG